Molecule: ribosomal RNA, 254 nt
Filed under: uncultured bacterium
Lineage: Bacteria
Description: partial 16S ribosomal RNA
Rfam family: Bacterial small subunit ribosomal RNA
Source: RNAcentral
UACGUAGGGUGCAAGCGUUGUCCGGAAUUAUUGGGCGUAAAGAGCUCGUAGGCGGUCUGUCGCGUCGAUCGUGAAAACUUGGGGCUUAACCCUGAGCUUGCGGUCGAUACGGGCAUGACUGGAGUUCGGCAGGGGAGCGUGGAAUUCCUGGUGUAGCGGUGAAAUGCGCAGAUAUCAGGAGGAACACCAGCGGCGAAGGCGGCGCUCUGGGCCGGAACUGACGCUGAGGAGCGAAAGCGUGGGGAGCGAACAGG